RNAcentral lists this ribosomal RNA (1251 nucleotides) under Vibrio cholerae. RNAcentral describes it as "partial 23S ribosomal RNA". It matches the Rfam family "Bacterial large subunit ribosomal RNA", at positions 1572 to 2806 of the family's 2925-position model. Lineage: Bacteria; Pseudomonadati; Pseudomonadota; Gammaproteobacteria; Vibrionales; Vibrionaceae. The record is from RNAcentral.
AGCUGCUACGGCAGUGAAGUCAUUGAUGCCAUGCUUCCAGGAAAAGCCUCUAAGCUUCAGAUAGUCAGGAAUCGUACCCCAAACCGACACAGGUGGUCGGGUAGAGAAUACCAAGGCGCUUGAGAGAACUCGGGUGAAGGAACUAGGCAAAAUGGUACCGUAACUUCGGGAGAAGGUACGCUCUUGAUGGUGAAGUCCCUCGCGGAUGGAGCUGACGAGAGUCGCAGAUACCAGGUGGCUGCAACUGUUUAUUAAAAACACAGCACUGUGCAAAAUCGCAAGAUGACGUAUACGGUGUGACGCCUGCCCGGUGCCGGAAGGUUAAUUGAUGGGGUUAGCGCAAGCGAAGCUCUUGAUCGAAGCCCCGGUAAACGGCGGCCGUAACUAUAACGGUCCUAAGGUAGCGAAAUUCCUUGUCGGGUAAGUUCCGACCUGCACGAAUGGCGUAAUGAUGGCCACGCUGUCUCCACCCGAGACUCAGUGAAAUUGAAAUCGCUGUGAAGAUGCAGUGUACCCGCGGCUAGACGGAAAGACCCCGUGAACCUUUACUACAGCUUGGCACUGAACAUUGAACCUACAUGUGUAGGAUAGGUGGGAGGCUAUGAAGACGUGACGCCAGUUGCGUUGGAGCCGUCCUUGAAAUACCACCCUUGUAUGUUUGAUGUUCUAACUUAGACCCGUUAUCCGGGUUGAGGACAGUGCCUGGUGGGUAGUUUGACUGGGGCGGUCUCCUCCCAAAGAGUAACGGAGGAGCACGAAGGUGGGCUAAUCACGGUUGGACAUCGUGAGGUUAGUGCAAUGGCAUAAGCCCGCUUAACUGCGAGAAUGACGGUUCGAGCAGGUGCGAAAGCAGGUCAUAGUGAUCCGGUGGUUCUGUAUGGAAGGGCCAUCGCUCAACGGAUAAAAGGUACUCCGGGGAUAACAGGCUGAUACCGCCCAAGAGUUCAUAUCGACGGCGGUGUUUGGCACCUCGAUGUCGGCUCAUCACAUCCUGGGGCUGAAGUCGGUCCCAAGGGUAUGGCUGUUCGCCAUUUAAAGUGGUACGCGAGCUGGGUUUAGAACGUCGUGAGACAGUUCGGUCCCUAUCUGCCGUGGGCGUUGGAAGAUUGAAGGGGGCUGCUCCUAGUACGAGAGGACCGGAGUGGACGAACCUCUGGUGUUCGGGUUGUGUCGCCAGACGCAUUGCCCGGUAGCUAAGUUCGGAAUUGAUAAGCGCUGAAAGCAUCUAAGCGCGAAGCGAGCCCUGAGAUG